CCUGGUUUAACCCAGAAGUGACGGGCGAUUUGUGCAUAUAAAAUUUUAUUUCCUUAACUAAUUUUGUUUUUAUCUAAUUAAUAAUUUUAGGUCCUAUGUAUUUCUUCUAAUGAUUCAUUUAAAAACUGUUAUGGAAAUGUGUUUCGCUUUACCCCUUCAUAUUAUUUUUGUCUUGAUUUGUGCUUUUAUUAAUUUAAUAUUUAGGUGAGUCCUGCGGGACUUAUCUCCAAACAAUGAUAUAAAAAAUUAAAAUAAAGGUCGAGUUAAUCGUGGGUUGUCUAUUAAAAAGUAAAACCCCCUAGUAAAUUUCAUACCGCCAUUCCAUUUAGAUUUUUCUUAAAUAGAUACUAUCCUUUUUAAAAUAAAA
RNAcentral lists this ribosomal RNA (367 nucleotides) under Calepitrimerus sp. S122 2. RNAcentral describes it as "partial small subunit ribosomal RNA". The record is from RNAcentral. Lineage: Eukaryota; Metazoa; Arthropoda; Arachnida; Trombidiformes; Eriophyidae.